CAGCAUGUUUCAAGCCAUGAUCUGGAGUUAGUAUGUUAUUGACUCCU
Molecule: unclassified non-coding RNA, 47 nt
Organism: Carlito syrichta (Philippine tarsier)
Lineage: Eukaryota; Metazoa; Chordata; Mammalia; Primates; Tarsiidae
Source: Ensembl